Molecule: small nuclear RNA, 332 nt
Filed under: Myotis brandtii (Brandt's bat)
Lineage: Eukaryota; Metazoa; Chordata; Mammalia; Chiroptera; Vespertilionidae
Description: 7SK RNA
Rfam family: 7SK RNA
About the family: 7SK was discovered as an abundant small nuclear RNA in the mid-70s but a possible function has only recently been suggested.
Source: Rfam by way of RNAcentral
GGAUGUGAGGGCGAUCUGGCUGCGACAUCUGUCACCCCAUUGAUCGCCAGGGUUGAUUAGGCUGAUCUGGCUGGCUAGGCGGGUGUCCCCCUCCUCCCUCACCGAUCCAUGUGCGUCCCUCCCGAAGCUGCGAGCUCGGUCGAAGAGGACGCCCUUCCCCCCCUAGGAGAGGACCGGUCUUCGGUCAAGGGUAUACGAGUAGCUGCGCUCCCCUGCUAGAACCUCCAAACAAGCUCUCAAGGUCCAUUUGUAGGAGAACGUAGGGUAGUCAAACUCCCAAGACUCCAGACACAUCCAAAUGAGGCGCUGCACGUGGCAGUCUGCCUUCCUUU